This 66-nucleotide transfer RNA is filed under the name Cleora fraterna. Its description in RNAcentral is "tRNA-Ile". The record is from RNAcentral. Lineage: Eukaryota; Metazoa; Arthropoda; Insecta; Lepidoptera; Geometridae.
AAUAAAGUGCCUGAAAAAGGAUUAUUCUGAUAGGAUAAAUCAUGUAAACAAUAUUUACCUUUAUUA